This 427-nucleotide ribosomal RNA is filed under the name uncultured prokaryote. Its description in RNAcentral is "bacterial SSU rRNA". It matches the Rfam family "Bacterial small subunit ribosomal RNA", at positions 355 to 774 of the family's 1533-position model. The record is from RNAcentral.
UGGGGAAUUUUGGACAAUGGGCGCAAGCCUGAUCCAGCCAUGCCGCGUGAGUGAAGAAGGCCUUCGGGUUGUAAAGCUCUUUCGUACGGAAAGAAAUCGUCCGGGAUAACACCCCGGAUGGAUGACGGUACUGUAAGAAGAAGCACCGGCUAACUACGUGCCAGCAGCCGCGGUAAUACGUAGGGUGCGAGCGUUAAUCGGAAUUACUGGGCGUAAAGCGUGCGCAGGUGGUUGAAUAAGUCAGACGUGAAAUCCCCGGGCUCAACCUUGGAAGUGCGUUUGGGACUGUUCGGCUAGAGGAUGGCAGAGGGGGGUAGAAUUCCACGUGUAGCAGUGAAAUGCGUAGAGAUGUGGAGGAAUACCGAUGGCGAAGGCAGCCCCCUGGGCCAUAACUGACGCUCAAGCACGAAAGCGUGGGGAGCAAACA